Molecule: transfer RNA, 89 nt
Filed under: Actinomycetota bacterium
Lineage: Bacteria; Bacillati; Actinomycetota
Description: tRNA-Ser
Rfam family: tRNA
About the family: Transfer RNA (tRNA) molecules are approximately 80 nucleotides in length.
Source: RNAcentral
GGAGGGAUCGCAUAGCCCGGCUAGUGCGCGACACUCGAAAUGUCGUGAGUCUUUAUAGGCUCCGUGGGUUCGAAUCCCACUCCCUCCGC